RNAcentral lists this long non-coding RNA (520 nucleotides) under Pan troglodytes (chimpanzee). RNAcentral describes it as "lincRNA". The record is from RNAcentral. Lineage: Eukaryota; Metazoa; Chordata; Mammalia; Primates; Hominidae.
AGGUACUGAGAGAGGACGAAGGCUUCACGAAUGUGUUUGGAACCAAGACUUGAUAGCAAUUUUACUUUAACGGAAGAUAGCGGUGAGGGCUUGAACACUAAGGAAUUAAUGAGAGAUCAGCCCCUUUAGCGACUCAAAGCAUAUUAUAACUCCAGCUGGUCAAAAAGAGAGGAAAUAAAUAAUAUAACAGGAACAACUGCAAGAGCAAGUGCAGCAUCAGGUUGGUGCAUUUCUUUUGAUCAAAAGGUCAAAUUGCAACUGGUCUUUGAAGAGUGUGCUGGUGACAGUGUGCAACCUUUGCAGUAGCUCCUGGACUGGCCCUAGACUGCUGUCAAAUUAAACCAGCGCUGUAAAGAAGAGAGCAAGUACCCUAAAGUUGAAUGAAGGGGCAUCUUAAUUCGAAUCCUGGCUCUAAUGCUGACUGUAAGCAUGACCCCAGAUGAGUUAUUCACUCUCUCAGUCUCAGUCUCCUCAUCCACAAAGCAGGGAUCACAAUAAAUGAAUAGCACCUUUCACAGAA